CAGUAGCCGCGGUAAUACGGAGGGUGCAAGCGUUAAUCGGAAUUACUGGGCGUAAAGCGCACGCAGGCGGUCUGUCAAGUCAGAUGUGAAAUCCCCGGGCUUAACCUGGGAACUGCAUUUGAAACUGGCAGGCUAGAGUCUUGUAGAGGGGGGUAGAAUUCCAGGUGUAGCGGUGAAAUGCGUAGAGAUCUGGAGGAAUACCGGUGGCGAAGGCGGCCCCCUGGACAAAGACUGACGCCCAGGUGCGAAAGCGUGGGGAGCAAACAGGAUUAGAGACCCCGGUAGUCCCUGUCUCUUAUAC
RNAcentral lists this ribosomal RNA (301 nucleotides) under uncultured bacterium. Its description in RNAcentral is "partial 16S ribosomal RNA". It matches the Rfam family "Bacterial small subunit ribosomal RNA", at positions 509 to 807 of the family's 1533-position model. The record is from RNAcentral.